This 253-nucleotide ribosomal RNA is filed under the name uncultured bacterium. RNAcentral describes it as "partial 16S ribosomal RNA". It matches the Rfam family "Bacterial small subunit ribosomal RNA", at positions 524 to 776 of the family's 1533-position model. The record is from RNAcentral.
UACGGAGGAGGCAAGCGUUAUCCGGAAUUAUUGGGCGUAAAGCGUCCGUAGGUGGUAAUUCAAGUCUGCUGUUAAAGCGUGAGGCUUAACCUCAUAAAGGCAGUGGAAACUGAAUUGCUAGAGAACAGAAGGGGCAACGGGAAUUCCUAGUGUAGCGGUGAAAUGCGUAGAUAUACGGAGGAACACCAGCGGCGAAGGCGGGUAGCUGGGCCAACACUGACGCUGAUGCGCGAAAGCUAGGGUAGCAAACGGG